Molecule: long non-coding RNA, 959 nt
Filed under: Lupinus angustifolius (narrow-leaved blue lupine)
Lineage: Eukaryota; Viridiplantae; Streptophyta; Magnoliopsida; Fabales; Fabaceae
Description: long non-coding RNA (LANG_LNC003165)
Source: RNAcentral
CUCUCCUACCCACUUUCUAUUUCUAGACUCCUAAAAAUAAAGGGGUGUGACUGUGGUUUUUUGUUUUGUUCUUAUGAUAAUAAAGGAGUAAACAUUCCCUUCUUUCUUGAAAAAAGAUGGCAGUCCACAAUCAUCACAUGAAUGACCAGCUUCUAUCCACAAUCAGCAAAAACCAAAAACAAACCAAAGCAACUUAUCCUUAAACACUACCAGUACCUAAAUCUAAACCAAAGCAACUUAUCCUUAAACACUACCAGUACCUAAAUCUAAAAACACAAUUACACACAAAGACAUUAGUAUCUACCUUAUCCUAACGAACAACAAUCAACACUCUUAUAUCCCAAAAUCAAAGCUGCUAAUACAUAGAGGAAAAAAGGCAAUCAAUUGCAGUAACACCGAUAGAGAGAACAAGAAAGUGACGACUUCUCUCUCUCGCUCAAAAAACUUCAACAACAAUAUAACCCAUUUCUUUGUUAUUCUCUUUGUCUACAUAUUCUUCAAACAACAACAAAAACAACAAGAUCCAGGAGAGAAGAAAAAGUGAGUUAUCCUUCAAUCUUCUUCUCCAUUUAAAUAUACCACCUUCACCAACAAUACACCUAUACAUGUGCUUAAGCCACAAACAUCAAGAGGUGUAAAUGCUAAUAGGAAGAUCCAGCGGUGCUAGACAUCGUCGUCCAGAGGCGAGGCAAGUUCUUCGCGCUUUGGCAACCUCCUCCGACGGUCCUCCUCACACCGUGCAGUCUCGGUUUUGUGACCAUCCCCAUGGUUGGCGCUUGGUGCCAGCGUCAUUCACGACCUUGCAACCCUACUAUAUUUCCUCGCCACGGCGUGAGCAACUUCCAGUCGUGGAGCAAUGACCAUUUCGCUGGUUGAAGGUGAGAGAAAGAGACCCUCUUAAGUCAUGAAGGAGAAGACCCUCACGGGUCUGGGGCAAGACACUGGUCAUCCUCUUUCUC